Arachis ipaensis is the source of this 707-nucleotide long non-coding RNA. RefSeq lists it as uncharacterized. The record is from RefSeq and is a predicted model, not a curated record. Lineage: Eukaryota; Viridiplantae; Streptophyta; Magnoliopsida; Fabales; Fabaceae.
AAGGAAACAGAGAGCAGAGGGAGAGGGUGACGGAACAGAGAAGAAGAGGGAGAAGUGGAUCGUCAUCGGGGAGGGAGGAGACUGCCGCCGUCGUGAGCCAUCACUGCGCACUGCCGUCGAGUACACGGACCAGAGGGAGAUGCGAGCAGUGACUGAGAGGAAGCUCCGUCCUCGUCGCCGUUCCAUAGUCGCUGUUGAAGCCAACCUCGUUGUCGUCGAAUCGUUGCUGCUGUGCCGCCAUCAAGUCUGAGUUGAGGAAAGGAGACGUGGAGUCGGUGUCGCCCAGAGAGAAACGCGAAUGGCGAGGCGAAGCAGAACGCAUGGUGGGAAGGCUUUCCUAAUUCAUGAACCAAGGUGGAGGAGAAGGCCGUCUUCCCCGUUGCUGCUAUAAUCGUCUGUGCUGCUGCCGGUGCUUCAUUGUUCUGUUAUUCCUUUCUAAUUCUUAAUUAUUACUCUACCCAAUAUGAAUUCAUUGUUUUGCUCACUGUCGUCGCCAACUCGCGUUGCUGCUGCCCUGUCAAAGCUGUUGUGAGUGUUGCUAACAUUGGCGGAUAAGGGAUGAAGGAGCUGCUGCAUUUUGGGUGCAGCCCAACCAGUCAUCACGCCACAAUUCCGUCUUCAGUUUCGGUUUCUAUGAAAUUCGACAUUAAGCGACAGGUUUGAAGACGCAAUUUGAAGCUGCGAGCAAUUAGUAGGUUUUCUUUAUG